UACGGAGGGGGCUAGCGUUGUUCGGAAUUACUGGGCGUAAAGCGUACGUAGGCGACUUUGUAAGUUAGAGGUGAAAGCCCGGGGCUCAACCCCGGAAUUGCCUUUAAGACUGCAUCGCUUGAACGUCGGAGAGGUGAGUGGAAUUCCGAGUGUAGAGGUGAAAUUCGUAGAUAUUCGGAAGAACACCAGUGGCGAAGGCGGCUCACUGGACGACUGUUGACGCUGAGGUACGGAAGCGUGGGGAGCAAACAGG
RNAcentral lists this ribosomal RNA (253 nucleotides) under uncultured bacterium. Its description in RNAcentral is "partial 16S ribosomal RNA". It matches the Rfam family "Bacterial small subunit ribosomal RNA", at positions 524 to 776 of the family's 1533-position model. The record is from RNAcentral.